Molecule: ribosomal RNA, 489 nt
Filed under: Zemacies excelsa
Lineage: Eukaryota; Metazoa; Mollusca; Gastropoda; Neogastropoda; Conidae
Description: partial 16S ribosomal RNA
Rfam family: Bacterial large subunit ribosomal RNA
Source: RNAcentral
AUAUGAAGUCGGACCUGCCCGGUGAAGUUUUAACGGCCGCGGUACUCUGACCGUGCAAAGGUAGCAUAAUCAUUUGCCUUAUAAUUGAAGGCUGGAAUGAAUGGUUUGACAAGAAUAUAGCUGUCUCUUUACGAUUAAAUAGAAUUUUACUUUAGGAUGAAAAGGUCCUAAUCAAAUUAAAAGACAAGAAGACCCUAUCGAGCUUUAAAAAAAUUAGCAAAAUAAUAUAUUAAUAACACUAAAAAAUUAGUUGCUAAAAAUUUUGGUUGGGGCAACCGAGGAGUAACAAAAACCUCCUUUAAAGUUAUUAAACAUAUUAGUAUUGAUCCAAAAUUUUUGAUUAAAAGAAAUAGUUACCGUAGGGAUAACAGCAUUAUCUUUUUUGAGAGCUCUUAUCGAAAAAAAGGUUUGUGACCUCGAUGUUGGACCAGAAUGUCCUGAAGAUGCAGAAGUCUUUAAGGGUUGGUCUGUUCGACCAUUAAAAUUCUA